GUUAACCCCAAAGAGCAUCGACAAGUCCCAUCCAUUUCACCCAAAGUAGAAGCAAAACAAACAUCUUUCUCCUUCUCCUUUCUUUCUCCUUUUCUCAACCCUCCAAAUGAAGAAAACCCUAAAUCCAUCGCUAGUUGGCCGUCUGCCACCCCUCCUGCGAGAAUCCCCCCAAAUCAUCCCCUCCAGCUCGCAAAUCCCUCAGGAGCAGGAAAAAUCAGUUCCGAAUGAGUGAAAAUAAUUUAAAAUGGUUCAAUCUAUCAUUUAAUAGUUCUGAAAAGUUGAGUUGUGGGGAGAGAAGGUUUUGAUUCGAGUUCAAAAUUUAAGUUCUUUUUUCCACACUUAUUUAUUUUGGGGUUUCAAAUCCGGAUUUUCGAAUCCAGAUUUGGCUAUAUAUAUGUGUAUCGUUCACCCAAUGAAAACAAGGUAGAAGAUCUGAGAGAAAGAAGGUGAAAGAUUUGUGAGAAAGAAGGUAGAAAAUUAGACAGAAAAGGUGAAAGAAAAUUCGUGAGAGGAAAAUAAUCGAGUGAAAAAGCAAAACAAAACAAAACAAAAAGCGAAACAGAGGGAAAUUUGGUUUUAAAAAUCUGAGCUUGCUAUUCUCUUUCCGAUUUGGUCCAAAUUCGGGUUUCCGUGGUUGAGUGCGAAGUUGCCAAAAAACUUUGACAUUGAAACCCGAGUUUGCUUCCCAAAAUAAGAAAGGAACCAAUCCUUUUAUUCACUUUCAUCUUUUUCUUUCGCCUAUUCUUGACUAUGUGAAUAUGUGGUUUGACUCGAUUCAAGAUUAGAUGUAGUUUGCUGGUAGUUUUUCACGAAUUGAGUCUAAACCUGUUCCUGCUAAUUUGGAUUCAGGGCUGUUGGAGGCAAAAUGGUGUGAAAACCGUUUUAUUCCCUAUAUUUCUGUUUGGAUAUGUAUAUGUGAUAUGUGUGUUUGCUCAUUUUUUUAAAUUUUUUGUUUGUGAUUUUGUUAUGUCUCUAUUGUUUUCCCGUGAUUUUAUGGAUAAGAAUAUAUUUUGGUUCUGAAAAUUAUUUUGGCUAUGGAUAUGUAAGAAUGAAAAUAUGUGAUCUCUUGAUGGCUUCAAGUUUGGUCAUGUUGUCGUUGGUUGGGUGGGUUCAUGGAGUUGGUUCCAUUUUGAUUCCCCUUUUCGUUCAAAAUAUUGUCAUCUCGUGAUCAAGAUAUACGAUAUAUUUUGUUCUAGGUGUUGAGUAAAAAUGUAAGGAAUUAGUUAUACAUUUACUUAAAUAUGCAUUUCAGCACUUAUAGUUUUCCCAAGAUUUUAGUUACUGCUUGGAAAUAUUAUUUGAAUGAAGUUUUGUUCGACUUCUAUUUUUUAAAACAUGCACCAAUUAGCUUUAUUUGUGUGAUGGUUUACCAGGACCCUGUUCAAGUUUACUUAAUUUCUUUACAUAUUACUUAAUCCUAGCAUUAGAUGUUUAAGUUGUUCAGUUACAGAAUUGCACAAUAUUUUAUUACCUAUUCACUUCGUUCAAGAUUGGUUACUAAUCCUUAUAUUUUUCUUUUUUACAUGUGAUCUCGGGAGUUGGAGUUUCAAUCGAAACUCGCCUUGACCCAACAUCGGCUCAACUACAGUUAGGAUCGUCAAUGCUCGGAGUCUACACCGUUAUAUAUAUAUAUAUAUAUAUAUAUAUAUAUAUAGGAAUAGCUUAGCAUAUUAUUAUGAUUGGUUUUACUACUACGAAUAUGUUGUUUAUGAGGUUGAUUAAAAGUGAUUAACUUCACUUUAUUCUGUACAAAUCUUAAUCUCCCAGAAUUGAUUUCGUCCAGUCAUCAUUUUCUUCAUUAGGUGCUUAUCAACUUAAUAAUGAUAAAUUAUCUAACAUUCAGAUGUUUUAUAUUUUACAUCUCUAGAGCAAUCUGUUAAAGUAAGAGGCAAGUCUCGGGUUCUUUGAUGAUCCGAUACAAAAACUUUUGUAAAAAGGGGUUUAAAUAUCUAUCAAUAGUCUCCAUCUGAAAAUAAUUAGUUGAUAUUUUGUCACCCUAAUUAGAAUUGUUCUAGGUAAAUUGUCAAGAGAGUUUCUAGUCAAGUCCUUUUAAAAGUUUACUAAUAAUUCACUAGCCAAUUUAAG
This 2085-nucleotide long non-coding RNA is filed under the name Capsicum annuum. RNAcentral's name for it is "long non-coding RNA (CANN_LNC017110)". The record is from RNAcentral. Lineage: Eukaryota; Viridiplantae; Streptophyta; Magnoliopsida; Solanales; Solanaceae.